GACGGAGGGUGCAAGCGUUAAUCGGAAUUACUGGGCGUAAAGGGCACGCAGGUGGCUGAGUCAGUCGAUUGUGAAAGCCCUGGGCUUAACCUGGGAAUUGCAGUCGAUACUACUCAGCUAGAGUAUGGGAGAGGGUAGUGGAAUUCCCGGUGUAGCGGUGAAAUGCGUAGAUAUCGGGAGGAACAUCAGUGGCGAAGGCGGCUACCUGGCCCAAUACUGACACUCAGGUGCGACAGCGUGGGGAGCAAACCGG
RNAcentral lists this ribosomal RNA (253 nucleotides) under uncultured bacterium. Its description in RNAcentral is "partial 16S ribosomal RNA". It matches the Rfam family "Bacterial small subunit ribosomal RNA", at positions 524 to 776 of the family's 1533-position model. The record is from RNAcentral.